This is a long non-coding RNA of Globicephala melas (long-finned pilot whale), 1176 nucleotides long. RefSeq lists it as uncharacterized. The record is from RefSeq and is a predicted model, not a curated record. NCBI's taxonomy places the organism in Eukaryota, Metazoa, Chordata, Mammalia, Artiodactyla, Delphinidae.
GCGGCGGCGCCGGGACCCCGCUCCCGCCGGGCUCCCGGGUCCCCGAGGGCGAGAGAGACCCCGAAUCCCGAGGCGGGCCGGGACCUGGGCGCGGCCGCACCCCCCAUCCACCCCGGCACGGGGGCCGGGCCGCGGGAACGCCCUCUCGGAAUGAAGCGCUUCCCGGUGCCUUCAAGAGUUCUAAGCCCCACUCCAUCGGAUUGGAAGAACCUAGGCUGCCUACCCACUGCGUUUGGAGUUACUUCUCUCGCAGGGGUGAGGAGUACUUCUAGAGGUAGCCCUCCCAGGACAAUGCAACUGUAAAUGGAUGAUCCUCACAGUAAAUUGAAGAUCUCAGCGGUAUUAAGAAAAAACGAUCUUUAGAGCAACUGGCCCAAACCCCAGAAUUAGGAGAUUAGAGGAUUCGGUUCCAGCUCUUUCUCUCUUGUAUGACACACCCUGAAAAUCACUGAGAGAAUUAAAGCAUAAAUUGCUUUAUACUUUAAAAAAUCCUUUCGAAAAAUACGGUGGGCAAAUGACAUUCCGCCCAAGCACCAAGAAGCAACUUGGCACAUUCAUUCAUUCCACAAAUAUUUACUGAACACCUUCUACGUACCAGACACUGUCUUAGGUGCUAUAUUCCUACCACCUACCUUGGCGAAACUUGCUUACUAGAGACAGGAGUCAGAUAAUAAAUAAAUAGAUAAAUAAAUUAGUGAUUUGUCAGUUACAUGUUGGUAAGCGCUGGGGAGAAGGAAGGGGGCUAAGGAGGGUGGGAGGCAUGGGGGAGAGGGUGAUAAGCAAUUUUAAAUUAGGAAAGUUCUCACAGGGAGGGUGUUGUUUCAGCAAAGAAUUGAAGGAAAUGAGGUCCAUUAAUCUGUUAUCCAGAACUCUCAUUUAAGCAGAAUUUCUGCAUCUCUUAAGUGCAAUGAUAGUUGAUAUUCAUAAAUUGAUUUCCCCUGCUCUAAAACAGUGGUUCCCAAACUUUAACGUGCAUAAAAAAAAAUCACCCAGUGAUUUUCAGUAGACUCAGGGUAGACGGGGGCUCUGAAAAAUGCAUUUUUAAACAAGCACCUCUAUCUGAUGAUGCUGAUAGCUGAGGUUUUCCUUGGACCACUCUUGAAGAAACACUGCUUUAAAAUAUACUAAAGAGUCUUCUAGAAUGAAAACAAUAACAAAAUUAAAGAUUAAAUUACA